This 254-nucleotide ribosomal RNA is filed under the name uncultured bacterium. RNAcentral describes it as "partial 16S ribosomal RNA". It matches the Rfam family "Bacterial small subunit ribosomal RNA", at positions 524 to 776 of the family's 1533-position model. The record is from RNAcentral.
CACGUAGGGUGCGAGCGUUGUCCGGAAUUAUUGGGCGUAAAGAGCUCGUAGGCGGUGUGUCGCGUCGGCCGUGAAAACCUGCAGCUUAACUGUGGGCUUGCGGUCGAUACGGGCAUCACUGGAGUUCGGCAGGGGAGACUGGAAUUCCUGGUGUAGCGGUGGAAUGCGCAGAUAUCAGGAGGAACACCGGUGGCGAAGGCGGGAUCCUGGGCCAGUACUGACGCUGAGGAGCGAAAGCAUGGGGAGCGAACAGG